UACAGAGGGUGCAAGCGUUAAUCGGAAUGACUGGGCGUAAAGCGUGUGUAGGUGGUUGGAUAAGUUAGAUGUGAAAUCCCCGGGCUUAACCUGGGAACUGCGUUUAAAACUGUUUAACUAGAGUACUGUAGAGGGUAGUGGAAUUUCCAGUGUAGCGGUGAAAUGCGUAGAUAUUGGAAGGAACACCAGUGGCGAAGGCGACUACCUGGACAGAUACUGACACUGAGACACGAAAGCGUGGGGAGCAAACAGG
Molecule: ribosomal RNA, 253 nt
Filed under: uncultured bacterium
Lineage: Bacteria
Description: partial 16S ribosomal RNA
Rfam family: Bacterial small subunit ribosomal RNA
Source: RNAcentral